GCCACCGUGACAAGAAGCCAAGGCUGCCUUUUGGAGAUGGAAACAGAAAUACUGAAAACCCAAGCGGCUGGGAAUUGCCCCGUUCUUCCAGGUCAUCGUCGGCGGAAUGAUGUUGCCAUCAACUGCGGCAAACGGAAGCACCACAGGAACUACAA
Non-coding RNA from Aedes aegypti (yellow fever mosquito), 155 nucleotides. NCBI's taxonomy places the organism in Eukaryota, Metazoa, Arthropoda, Insecta, Diptera, Culicidae. The record is from Rfam.